RNAcentral lists this long non-coding RNA (231 nucleotides) under Brassica napus (rape). RNAcentral's name for it is "long non-coding RNA (BNAP_LNC019106)". The record is from RNAcentral. Lineage: Eukaryota; Viridiplantae; Streptophyta; Magnoliopsida; Brassicales; Brassicaceae.
GGUAAGAAGUAAAGCAGUAGCUUCUUGAUCUUGCUAGAUAUUGCCAGGCACUGAAUGCUACAAAAAUAGAUGAUAGACUUCCAUAAAGAAAAAGAUUCAACAGUUGACAGACACAGAAAUAUUCAACAUUUAAUUUAGACAUAGAUAAUAAUGCGCAUAAGUAGCAGAAUGCUAAAACAAGGUAUCUUAGAACACAAAGGAUGAUGUAGCUGGUCGGGUAAAGCAGUAGCU